AACAUCGCCUUUUGAAAGAAUAGAAGGUCUAACCUGCCCACUGAAUAAGUUAAAGGGCCGCGGUAUUUUGACCGUGCAAAGGUAGCAUAAUCAUUAGUCUUCUAAUUAAAGGCUGGAAUGAAUGGUUGGACGAGGUUCUAGCUGUCUCACUAAAAUAAAUUUGAAUUUAGCUUUUUAGUCAAAAGGCUAAAAUAUAGUUGGAGGACGAGAAGACCCUAUAGAGCUUUACGUUGGACUUUUUUAACUUGUUUAGGAUGAUUCUAGUUUUAAAGGAUAAGCGUUUCGUUGGGGUGACGGGGAGAUAAAAUAAACUCUUUUUAAUUUUUAACAUUGAUGUAUGAAUUAG
RNAcentral lists this ribosomal RNA (346 nucleotides) under Afronurus yoshidae. RNAcentral's name for it is "partial 16S ribosomal RNA". It matches the Rfam family "Archaeal large subunit ribosomal RNA", at positions 1904 to 2405 of the family's 2987-position model. Lineage: Eukaryota; Metazoa; Arthropoda; Insecta; Ephemeroptera; Heptageniidae. The record is from RNAcentral.